GAUGAACGCUGGCGGCGUGCCUAAUACAUGCAAGUCGAGCGAACAGACGAGGAGCUUGCUUCUCUGACGUUAGCGGCGGACGGGUGAGUAACACGUGGAUAACCUACCUAUAAGACUGGGAUAACUUCGGGAAACCGUAGCUAAUACCGGAUAAUAUAUUGAACCGCAUGGUUCAAUAGUGAAAGACGGUUUUGCUGUCACUUAUAGAUGGAUCCGCGCUGCAUUAGCUAGUUGGUAAGGUAACGGCUUACCAAGGCAACGAUGCAUAGCCGACCUGAGAGGGUGAUCGGCCACACUGGAACUGAGACACGGUCCAGACUCCUACGGGAGGCAGCAGUAGGGAAUCUUCCGCAAUGGGCGAAAGCCUGACGGAGCAACGCCGCGUGAGUGAUGAAGGUCUUCGGAUCGUAAAACUCUGUUAUUAGGGAAGAACAAAUGUGUAAGUAACUGUGCACGUCUUGACGGUACCUAAUCAGAAAGCCACGGCUAACUACGUG
RNAcentral lists this ribosomal RNA (497 nucleotides) under uncultured bacterium. Its description in RNAcentral is "partial 16S ribosomal RNA". It matches the Rfam family "Bacterial small subunit ribosomal RNA", at positions 28 to 507 of the family's 1533-position model. The record is from RNAcentral.